Molecule: ribosomal RNA, 1206 nt
Filed under: Escherichia coli
Lineage: Bacteria; Pseudomonadati; Pseudomonadota; Gammaproteobacteria; Enterobacterales; Enterobacteriaceae
Description: partial 23S ribosomal RNA
Rfam family: Bacterial large subunit ribosomal RNA
Source: RNAcentral
GAAUCAGUGUGUGUGUUAGUGGAAGCGUCUGGAAAGGCGUGCGAUACAGGGUGACAGCCCCGUACACAAAAAUGCACAUAUUGUGAGCUCGAUGAGUAGGGCGGGACACGUGGUAUCCUGUCUGAAUAUGGGGGGACCAUCCUCCAAGGCUAAAUACUCCUGACUGACCGAUAGUGAACCAGUACCGUGAGGGAAAGGCGAAAAGAACCCCGGCGAGGGGAGUGAAAAAGAACCUGAAACCGUGUACGUACAAGCAGUGGGAGCCUCUUAAUGGGGUGACUGCGUACCUUUUGUAUAAUGGGUCAGCGACUUAUAUUCUGUAGCAAGGUUAACCGAAUAGGGGAGCCGAAGGGAAACCGAGUCUUAACUGGGCGUUAAGUUGCAGGGUAUAGACCCGAAACCCGGUGAUCUAGCCAUGGGCAGGUUGAAGGUUGGGUAACACUAACUGGAGGACCGAACCGACUAAUGUUGAAAAAUUAGCGGAUGACUUGUGGCUGGGGGUGAAAGGCCAAUCAAACCGGGAGAUAGCUGGUUCUCCCCGAAAGCUAUUUAGGUAGCGCCUCGUGAAUUCAUCUCCGGGGGUAGAGCACUGUUUCGGCAAGGGGGUCAUCCCGACUUACCAACCCGAUGCAAACUGCGAAUACCGGAGAAUGUUAUCACGGGAGACACACGGCGGGUGCUAACGUCCGUCGUGAAGAGGGAAACAACCCAGACCGCCAGCUAAGGUCCCAAAGUCAUGGUUAAGUGGGAAACGAUGUGGGAAGGCCCAGACAGCCAGGAUGUUGGCUUAGAAGCAGCCAUCAUUUAAAGAAAGCGUAAUAGCUCACUGGUCGAGUCGGCCUGCGCGGAAGAUGUAACGGGGCUAAACCAUGCACCGAAGCUGCGGCAGCGACACUAUGUGUUGUUGGGUAGGGGAGCGUUCUGUAAGCCUGUGAAGGUGGCCUGUGAGGGUUGCUGGAGGUAUCAGAAGUGCGAAUGCUGACAUAAGUAACGAUAAAGCGGGUGAAAAGCCCGCUCGCCGGAAGACCAAGGGUUCCUGUCCAACGUUAAUCGGGGCAGGGUGAGUCGACCCCUAAGGCGAGGCCGAAAGGCGUAGUCGAUGGGAAACAGGUUAAUAUUCCUGUACUUGGUGUUACUGCGAAGGGGGGACGGAGAAGGCUAUGUUGGCCGGGCGACGGUUGUCCCGGUUUAAGCGUGUAGGCUGGU